This is a long non-coding RNA of Neopelma chrysocephalum (saffron-crested tyrant-manakin), 477 nucleotides long. RefSeq lists it as uncharacterized. NCBI's taxonomy places the organism in Eukaryota, Metazoa, Chordata, Aves, Passeriformes, Pipridae. The transcript has 4 exons. The record is from RefSeq and is a predicted model, not a curated record.
UUCAAUCCUGUUCUUACCUUUCUUCUCAACUUGCAUUAAGGCAUCAGUAAUGUGAGAAAAUUGAAAAAGGAGCUGUGAUAAUGACAGGAAAUCAUGCAUCCAGCAACAGAGAACUCAUUGCCCUUCCCAGAUGUGAAGAGGAGGUGGCUGAAUAAGAACAGACUCAGCACUCCCACUUCAUUAUUUUGGAUCUCCCUGGAUAGAACCUUUUUCUCCUUGUGCCUUUGCUCAUUGAUCUCUACCUUCUGGAUCGCCAAACUUUCAUCUCCAGGUAUCUGUGCUAUGGCAGAGCUGGUAGCACUGAAAACUGAGACCUGUAAUCCUCUUGGGCACCUCUAGACUGGGAGAACUGGCACCACAUCGCUCUGAAUCUCAGCAAUUCAGAAUAAACAGCAGCAGCACCUUCAAGGAGAAAUCACCUGGACACAUGGACAGAUAUACAGCCAACCCUACCAGCAACACCAGAAGCAUAAGAAU